Molecule: long non-coding RNA, 2152 nt
Organism: Archocentrus centrarchus (flier cichlid)
Lineage: Eukaryota; Metazoa; Chordata; Actinopteri; Cichliformes; Cichlidae
Exons: 2
Source: RefSeq, a predicted model, not a curated record
CCCCUUCAGCCUCUGCUGUGUUCCUCUCAGGCAGGUCUUAACAGAGCUCAAGUCAGACAACCAGAGACUAAAGGAUGAAAACGGUGCUCUCAUUAGAGUCAUCAGCAAACUGUCCAAAUGAUAAAGGUGUCUGACAUUCCUGGUGUGUGUCUGUGGAUGCUCCAGCCCUGAUAUAGCAAUGUUAUUAUCCACAAGGUCCCAGGUUUUGACUCUUCUCUGAGUUACUGUAUGCUGACAGGCCAGUUUGGUUGCAUUUUCAGAAACAUCCUAACAAUUAUAGUCACAUUUCAGUCACAUUUUACAAAUUAAGUUACAACUAUUUUUCCAUUGUUAUAUAAUGUUGUUUUGUUUUGGGUUUUUUUUCAUAUUUUUCACAUGUACAAAAUAGGGACCAGAUGUACUGUUUGGAUGACAUUUCAAGUCCAAACAAAUGCAGGAGACUGCAUGAAGUCACUGUACCUAAUAAUAUACAAACACAUCACAUGGACACUUUGGUUGCUACUUGUGCACUUCAUAAUAGUGUUUAAUAUAAUUUUAAUGAUAAAAAAAGAGAAACCAAUUUUUGACUUAUGCUUUAUUGAACUGUAGCUUCUGUCCUUUAUUUUGACAUAUGAUGUUAAAAAGACAAAAUACAAAAACUUAUCACACGUGAGUCUGACAUAUUUUCACUCUAGGCUAAAGAUAGUGAAGCUUAAUAAGGUGCAUGUUUUGGGUUGUGUUUGCUUUUAUUGAGAAGUUUCUCAGGUUUGUCACUCAGCUGUUUUUGCUUGCCACAAUUCAGUGCCUCCCAAAUGUGGAUGUCUUUGGUGGAUGUUUUUCUACGGUUUUCUAAUGCAGCAUCUGGUCUAAUGCAUUAGGGCACCGGGGUGUACAAAUGUGAUACACAUGAUAAACCUUUGGCAAAAAACUAUCAUUUCAACUGGUCCGAUAAACAUUUCAGUCCAAUUUUUUUUUUUUUUAGCAAUUUGAAAUCAAAACAAAUAGACAUUUGUUGUUGUUUACCUAGUGUGCAAAAAUGUAACAUGUUUAUUUGGGCUUUUAUGAAUAGACUGCAUAAUAAGCCUGAAAGGCUAAGUACUGUGUGCCUCAUUAGCAGCCCUGCGACACAUUCAGAAAUGCACACUUUGUAGGAGAAGGUGAUUUAUUUUUGUCACAUUUUCCUUUGUGUGUUUUCAGCUGCCAUACUUUUUAAAAUCCAUGCUCUUCCUAGAGGAUUUUUUUGUUAGGCUAGUAUCUCAUUUUGAAAACAAACGAAUGCCUGAAGAGAGAGAGCGAGAUGCUUGGAGUGCAAAUGAAAAUGUUGUCUAUUAUGUUUUGUAAUAGAUAUAUAUUUAUUUAUUUAUGGAUGUAUUAGUUUUAAUCUUUAUACUUUGCCUAGUCAGUUUUGUUUCAAAGGAAUACACUGAUUAGUUUUUGGUUGACCUGUUGGCCUUCUUAUCGUUCAGCGAAUAAAAUACAAAUACCAAAAUCAUGCACUUCAUUGCUAUCACUGCAUUAUAAAUUACAAUAUUUGUGUGGUCUUAAACAUGAGCAAAAGCCAAAGUUUUGAAAUAUAAACUCUUAUCACUACUACAAUUAAAUAUUUUUCAAUGUUUGAAAAUGCUUGGAGGACUUUGACUUUUAUCAGUUUAGUUACAACAGAAACAAAACUAUGGAAGAACUAUUUGUAAUAGUUCCUUAAGAACUAAACCCAGAGUGCAAUAAAGUGCAGAGUGUCAGCUUAGCUUAAAACCCUGUUUAAUGCAUUAUAUCUAAUUUAUAAAGCUGUCACACCAAGUUUUACAUUUCAAAUUAUUUUGCAUUGAAACUCCUUCUGUACAGUGACAGACGCAACAGAGAUUUUGGUAUCUGUCUUCUCUUCACUUAAUGGUUGAGUUGACCAAGGUCCUCAUUGUUUCAUGUAGUCCUUAAACCAUGUGAUGGUUUUGGAAUCCAGCCAUAGCACAUAUUGUAUUACCAGUGUUAUGUUUGCUCACAUCCACUAACUGAACUGUAAAUAAAUUAUUUAUAGCUGAUUCUGCUAUUUCUACACGUGCUAUAGAUAUACUGAUUUAUGGAGUGAUUGUAUAUUGAAUAGUCUAAAAUGUUCUGAGUGACAGCUCAAUGUGGACACAGUGGUUAAUUCAACCUGCUUAAUAAAUGGUAAAAGGAA